UUGUUCAAUUCGAUGCAAAGCGAAAAACCUUACCAGGGCUUGACAUGCCGCGAAUCCUCUUGAAAGAGAGGGGUGCCUUUGAGAACGCGGACACAGGUGGUGCAUGGUUGUUGUCAACUCGUGCUAUAAGGUGUUGGGUUAAGUCUAGCACAGUUAAUGAUAUCAUCCCAAGUAUUAAUUACACAACCUUGACUAUCAA
Molecule: ribosomal RNA, 199 nt
Filed under: Olea europaea subsp. europaea
Lineage: Eukaryota; Viridiplantae; Streptophyta; Magnoliopsida; Lamiales; Oleaceae
Description: Bacterial small subunit ribosomal RNA
Rfam family: Bacterial small subunit ribosomal RNA
Source: Rfam by way of RNAcentral